GACGAACGCUGGCGGCGUGCCUAAUACAUGCAAGUAGAACGCUGACGCGAGGAGCUUGCUCUUCUUGGAUGAGUUGCGAACGGGUGAGUAACGCGUAGGUAACCUGCCUUGUAGCGGGGGAUAACUAUUGGAAACGAUAGCUAAUACCGCAUAACAAUGGAUGACACAUGUCAUUUAUUUGAAAGGGGCAAUUGCUCCACUACAAGAUGGACCUGCGUUGUAUUAGCUAGUAGGUGAGGUAAGGGCUCACCUAGGCGACGGUACAUAGCCGACCUGAGAGGUGGAUCGCCACCAUGGGACCGGGGAAAGGCCCCAACCUCCAAGGGGGGGAACAGGAGGGAAAUUUUGGCAAUGGGGGCAACCCUGAACGAACCACGCCGGGGGAGGGAAGAAGGGUUUCGGAUCGUAAAGCUCUGUUGUAAGUCAAGAACGGGUGUGAGAGUGGAAAGUUCACACUGUGACGGUAGCUUAACAGAAAGGGACGGCUAACUACGUG
This 496-nucleotide ribosomal RNA is filed under the name uncultured bacterium. RNAcentral's name for it is "partial 16S ribosomal RNA". It matches the Rfam family "Bacterial small subunit ribosomal RNA", at positions 28 to 507 of the family's 1533-position model. The record is from RNAcentral.